This 491-nucleotide ribosomal RNA is filed under the name uncultured bacterium. Its description in RNAcentral is "partial 16S ribosomal RNA". It matches the Rfam family "Bacterial small subunit ribosomal RNA", at positions 29 to 507 of the family's 1533-position model. The record is from RNAcentral.
AUUGAACGCUGGCGGCAUGCUUUACACAUGCAAGUCGAACGGUAACAGGCCUUCGGGUGCUGACGAGUGGCGAACGGGUGAGUAAUGCAUCGGAACGUACCCAGAGGUGGGGGAUAACGCAGCGAAAGCUGUGCUAAUACCGCAUGUGAUCUGAGGAUGAAAGCGGGGGACCGAGCAGCAAUGUUUGGCCUCGCGCCUUUGGAGCGGCCGAUGUCGGAUUAGCUAGUUGGGGGGGUAAAGGCCUACCAAGGCGACGAUCCGUAGCUGGUCUGAGAGGACGACCAGCCACAGUGGGACUGAGACACGGCCCAGCCUCCUACGGGAGGCAGCAGUGGGGACUUUUGGACAAUGGGCGCAAGCCUGCUCCAGCAAUGCCGCGUGCGGGAAGAAGGCCUUCGGGUUGUAAACCGCUUUUGGCAGGAACGAAACGGUGUCCGCUAUACCGGGCGCUAAUGACGGUACCUGCAGAAUAAGCACCGGCUAACUACGUG